This 301-nucleotide ribosomal RNA is filed under the name uncultured bacterium. Its description in RNAcentral is "partial 16S ribosomal RNA". It matches the Rfam family "Bacterial small subunit ribosomal RNA", at positions 509 to 807 of the family's 1533-position model. The record is from RNAcentral.
CAGUAGCCGCGGUAAUACGAAGGGGGCUAGCGUUGCUCGGAAUUACUGGGCGUAAAGGGAGCGUAGGCGGAUGUUUAAGUCAGAGGUGAAAGCCCAUGGCUCAACCUUGGAACUGCCUUUGAUACUGGACAUCUUGAGUAUGGGAGAGGUAAGCGGAACUCCGAGUGUAGAGGUGAAAUUCGUAGAUAUUCGGAAGAACACCAGUGGCGAAGGCGGCUUACUGGCCCAUUACUGACGCUGAGGCUCGAAAGCGUGGGGAGCAAACAGGAUUAGAUACCCGUGUAGUCCCUGUCUCUUAUAC